UACGGGGGGAGCAAGCGUUGUUCGGAUUUACUGGGCGUAAAGGGCGCGUAGGCGGGUGGUCAAGUCCGGGGUGAAAUCCUCCAGCUCAACUGGAGAACUGCCUCGGAUACUGGGUGUCUCGAGGGUGGUAGGGGUAUGCGGAACUAUCGGUGGAGCGGUGAAAUGCGUAGAUAUCUGGAGGAACACCGGUGGCGAAGGCGGCAUCCUGGACCGGCAUUGACGCUGAGGAGCGAAAGCCAGGGGAGCAAACGGG
RNAcentral lists this ribosomal RNA (253 nucleotides) under uncultured bacterium. Its description in RNAcentral is "partial 16S ribosomal RNA". It matches the Rfam family "Bacterial small subunit ribosomal RNA", at positions 524 to 776 of the family's 1533-position model. The record is from RNAcentral.